GAGAAAGCUUUGACUAGAACGAGUAGAUUAUUAGUUUAUUAUCAGAGAGUCCUUGGUUGGUGAGAAAGGAUAUAAACGGUAGUUGAACACAUCUAGGAGCUAUCUUCCUGAACUAUUUUUUAAACAGUAAAGUAAGGAAGUUCGUCAUUUGCACGUUAUCGCAAACGGUCUUGUUGGAGACUUGCUGAGGUUAUCACUGUGAAGUGGUAACGUGUUUGAGGUGGAACCGCGUCUAUUUGUCGCCCUCUUA
RNAcentral lists this non-coding RNA (250 nucleotides) under Vagococcus lutrae. Its description in RNAcentral is "T-box sequence". It matches the Rfam family "T-box leader". Rfam says of the family: Uncharged tRNA acts as the effector for transcription antitermination of genes in the T-box leader family. T-boxes are found upstream of many aminoacyl-tRNA synthetase genes and some amino acid biosynthetic genes usually in Gram-positive bacteria. The record is from RNAcentral. Lineage: Bacteria; Bacillati; Bacillota; Bacilli; Lactobacillales; Enterococcaceae.